This 670-nucleotide long non-coding RNA is filed under the name Equus asinus (donkey). RNAcentral's name for it is "lncRNA (ENSEASG00005031519.1)". The record is from RNAcentral. Lineage: Eukaryota; Metazoa; Chordata; Mammalia; Perissodactyla; Equidae.
AAGAGUCUGAGGCUGGAUCUCAGACCAAGCAUGAAACCCUCUGUGCCCGGUCCAUCCUCACUCAGGAUUCACACGUGCCAUCGGGCAUUGGGUAGCUCAUCCAGCCCCGAACCCCCGCCUCCCGCCUCAUCCCGCUUCACCUCACCCCACUGGCCCACCCUGCAAAGUACUGUCUAGAGACGACUCUAACUGCUGGUGCCCAACAAGGCAGAAUAAAGGCCCGUGUGCUCACCGAGUUCCAUUUGGAGUGUGCGACAAUUUCAGAGCACAAAUGGAAAAAGAAAAAAAAGCAGGACCCAUUAAAAUGCUGAAGAAGGAAUAUGAAAAAGGUAUACCACACAACAUGAAGAGACCUGGGGAUCAGGAUCAGUGGACUGUGGGAGAAGGAGGCCUGAAGGUGAUAACGUCCUGUCUGAAGGAGCUAAUGCACACCCGGGGAGCAGCCCAGCUCCGUUCAAUGAAAUAAAACGUCCAGAGCUGUUCUCUUCAUGUUUUAUAUGGCAACACACUUUUAUGUGUGAUUAAGAAACAAAAUAACAAAGGGAGGAAUGUACUGAGCUUAUCAAAGUACAAUAGUUGCUGCUUCACCAGAAAAACCAGUGCUUUCCUUCUAUUCUGGUGCUGUUAAGCUGACCCUGGGGAAUGAAAGACGCUUUGCUCUGAAAUAAAG